Molecule: long non-coding RNA, 414 nt
Filed under: Junco hyemalis (dark-eyed junco)
Lineage: Eukaryota; Metazoa; Chordata; Aves; Passeriformes; Passerellidae
Description: lncRNA (ENSJHYG00000012861.1)
Source: RNAcentral
CAGCUUAUUUUCUGACACUGACAGUCCUUUCUUUCAACUCAUCCAGAAGGCUGACAGCCCAUCUCAUUCCCAUCAUUGUUAUCCCACCAGCUUGCCUGGGAGUUCAGCACUGCAUUUGGCCUGGUCUGCCGGUCUUUCUGAGCCCCUCAUUACUGAGCUGCAACAUCACCAUCCACAACAAUUCAGAAGUCUGUGGAACUGGAGCAUAACAGAGAAAGACAGGACAAGCUGAGAAGAACCAACUGAAAGGAAAAUCUUCAAGUUUGUGGCUAUCAGAGCAAAAGGCAAAAAGGUAGGAUUGCAUCCAUGUGGUUGUUUGUCUUUCACCCACUCACAUUGACUGUAAUGGGACUGCUGGCUCUGUGUCCCUGCCUGUGGGACCCUCACUUUAUAAAGGAGGAAGGGGACAUUAAG